This 310-nucleotide ribosomal RNA is filed under the name uncultured bacterium. Its description in RNAcentral is "bacterial SSU rRNA". It matches the Rfam family "Bacterial small subunit ribosomal RNA", at positions 28 to 334 of the family's 1533-position model. The record is from RNAcentral.
GACGAACGCUGGCGGCGUGCUUAACACAUGCAAGUCGAACGCUGAAGCUUGGAGCUUGCUCCGGGUGGAUGAGUGGCGAACGGGUGAGUAACACGUGAGUAACCUGCCCUUAACUCUGGGAUAAGCGCUGGAAACGGUGUCUAAUACUGGAUAUGAGCAUUCUUCGCAUGGGGGAUGUUGGAAAGAUUUAUCGGUUUUGGAUGGACUCGCGGCCUAUCAGCUUGUUGGUGAGGUAAUGGCUCACCAAGGCGACGACGGGUAGCCGGCCUGAGAGGGUGACCGGCCACACUGGGACUGAGACACGGCCCAG